GACGAACGCUGGCGGCGUGCUUAACACAUGCAAGUCGAACGGAAAGGCCCUGCUUUUGUGGGGUGCUCGGGUGGCGAACGGGUGAGUAACACGUGAGUAACCUGCCCUUGACUUUGGGAUAACUUCAGGAAACUGGGGCUAAUACCGGAUAGGAGCUCCUGCUGCAUGGUGGGGGUUGGAAAGUUUCGGCGGUUGGGGAUGGACUCGCGGCUUAUCAGCUUGUUGGUGGGGUAGUGGCUUACCAAGGCUUUGACGGGUAGCCGGCCUGAGAGGGUGACCGGCCACAUUGGGACUGAGAUACGGCCCAGACUCCUACGGGAGGCAGCAGUGGGGAAUAUUGCACAAUGGGCGGAAGCCUGAUGCAGCAACGCCGCGUGCGGGAUGACGGCCUUCGGGCUGUAAACCGCUUUCGCCUGUGACGAAGCGUGAGUGACGGUAAUGGGUAAAGAAGCACCGGCUAACUACGUG
Molecule: ribosomal RNA, 468 nt
Filed under: uncultured bacterium
Lineage: Bacteria
Description: partial 16S ribosomal RNA
Rfam family: Bacterial small subunit ribosomal RNA
Source: RNAcentral